UUAGAAGAUUGAGAGUAAGGUCAGGGAUUGAGUUUAGCAAACAUCCCAGUUGAACCUGAUUCAAGGAGUCCUCAGGGUGCACUGAGGAAAGCUGCUACACCUGGCCUGGAGGAGGAGCCUGUGGGUGCGGAGGCAGAGGCAGGGGCUUCUGCAGAAACAGAAAAUUGAUGACUAGCAUGGGUAACCUCGACUCUCCUGACCUGGCGUAUCUGUCCAGGCUGCCUUCAAAUCUCAGAGGAUGAUAAGCAGAAAAAACCAUUCCUGAAGGUCCUUGACUAUUUAAAACUGUGAAGAGCAAAGCUACAGAUGAUCCAAAGCAAAAUUCUAGUUUAAAAAAAAGUGCUUCGGUUUUUCCACCAAUGACCAAGGCAUCUUCCUGACCUAGGGAUGGAACCUGUCUCUCCCACUUGACAGUCAAUUCUUUACCACUGAGCCACCCAGGAAGCCCCAAACACUGUAUACAGAAAGAAUAUUUUGUAGCAUGGUUACUUUUUUCUAAGUCCAUGUAUCUACUUACUAUCUAUAGUUAUUAUUACUUUAUUAGUGGAAAAUAAAUUCUUAUAUUUCUUAGAUUAUACUUAUUGAUCAAAGAUCAGUUAUAAAUUUUGUGUCAUAAAGUGUUAGUUACUCAAUUGUGUCUGACUUUUUGUGACCCCAUGGAGCCUGCUAGUUCCUCUGUCCAUGGAUUCUCUAGGCAAGAAUACUGGAGUGGAUUGCCAUUUCUUGUCCAGGGGAUCUUCCCAGCCCAGGGAUUAAACCUGGGUCUUCUGCAUUGCAGGCAGAUCCUUUAUCAUCUGAGCCACCAGAGAAACAUUUUCUAUAAUAUAGGCAUAUAUAAUAUAUACAUUAUGUUCAUGUUACAUAUGAUGUGGUGCCGAGAGCCACCAUGGGAGAUCCCACCCAUGACAAAGGUCAUGCGGGAAAGACCUGACAGGCAAAAGCAGAUCAGGACUCGAGGGAUUCCCUGGACCUGCUUGAACAUCUACCCCAAAACCAAAA
Long non-coding RNA from Bubalus bubalis (water buffalo), 999 nucleotides. RefSeq lists it as uncharacterized. The record is from RefSeq and is a predicted model, not a curated record. NCBI's taxonomy places the organism in Eukaryota, Metazoa, Chordata, Mammalia, Artiodactyla, Bovidae. The transcript is spliced from 3 exons.